Molecule: ribosomal RNA, 110 nt
Filed under: uncultured bacterium
Lineage: Bacteria
Description: partial 16S ribosomal RNA
Rfam family: Bacterial small subunit ribosomal RNA
Source: RNAcentral
CCCGGGUCUUGUACACACCGCCCGUCAAACCAUGGGAGCGGGUUCUGCCAGAAGUAGUUAGCCUAACCGCAAGGAGGGCGAUUACCACGGCAGGGUUCGUGACUGGGGUG